Molecule: ribosomal RNA, 159 nt
Filed under: uncultured Pseudomonas sp.
Lineage: Bacteria; Pseudomonadati; Pseudomonadota; Gammaproteobacteria; Pseudomonadales; Pseudomonadaceae
Description: partial 16S ribosomal RNA
Rfam family: Bacterial small subunit ribosomal RNA
Source: RNAcentral
UGGGGAAUAUUGGACAAUGGGCGAAAGCCUGAUCCAGCCAUGCCGCGUGUGUGAAGAAGGUCUUCGGAUUGUAAAGCACUUUAAGUUGGGAGGAAGGGCAGUAAGUUAAUACCUUGCUGUUUUGACGAUACCGACAGAAUAAGCACCGGCUAACUCUGU